UAGGGAAUCUUCCGCAAUGGGCGAAAGCCUGACGGAGCAACGCCGCGUGAGUGAUGAAGGUCUUCGGAUCGUAAAACUCUGUUAUCAGGGAAGAACAAAUGUGUAAGUAACUGUGCACAUCUUGACGGUACCUGAUCAGAAAGCCACGGCUAACUACGUGCCAGCAGCCGCGGUAAUACGUAGGUGGCAAGCGUUAUCCGGAAUUAUUGGGCGUAAAGCGCGCGUAGGCGGUUUUUUAAGUCUGAUGUGAAAGCCCACGGCUCAACCGUGGAGGGUCAUUGGAAACUGGAAAACUUGAGUGCAGAAGAGGAAAGUGGAAUUCCAUGUGUAGCGGUGAAAUGCGCAGAGAUAUGGAGGAACACCGGUGGCGAAAGCGGCUCUCUGGUCUGUAACUGACGCUGAGGCUCGAAAGCGUGGGGAGCGAACAGG
RNAcentral lists this ribosomal RNA (429 nucleotides) under Bacteroidota bacterium. RNAcentral describes it as "Bacteroidetes bacterium partial 16S ribosomal RNA". It matches the Rfam family "Bacterial small subunit ribosomal RNA", at positions 355 to 776 of the family's 1533-position model. The record is from RNAcentral. Lineage: Bacteria; Pseudomonadati; Bacteroidota.